RNAcentral lists this long non-coding RNA (939 nucleotides) under Pan troglodytes (chimpanzee). RNAcentral's name for it is "lincRNA". Lineage: Eukaryota; Metazoa; Chordata; Mammalia; Primates; Hominidae. The record is from RNAcentral.
CAGAAAGGGACAGAGACGGCGAAGUUUGACGGUCUGGAAAGCAGAGACCAGCAGGGCUGACUGCUUGGGAGCGCCUCUCGGGAGGUCCGAGAAGAGAACCGCGAUCUGUUUCAGCACCGGGGCUCAGGACAGUUCCCAGCGGGCUCCGUUUCGGCUCCAGAACCCUGGACAGCUCCUCCAGUAGAGACGGGGUUUCACCAUGUUGGCCAGGCUGGUCUCAAACUCUUGACCUCUUCAUCCGUCCACCUCAGCCUCCCAAAGUGCUAGGAUUACGGGCGUGAGUCACUGCGCCUGGCCCAAGUCCGGAGUUUUCAACAGGACAUGGGUGUUACUGGGCCCAUGUGACAUUUGGGGACCCCAAGGCCCUGAGAAAGGCAGAAAAAUAACCCACGCAGGGACUCUCAGCCCACAAGUGAAGCUGUAAGUCAACCCCACCAGUCCAACUCCAAAUCCCCUGUCUCUGACAUGCCUGGGUGGGAGGUGAGCCCUUGGAGAUCAGACCCUGCUUCUCUCCAGGAGAACCGGGAAUGGAAAACAGGGAGGCAGCACAGAGGCAGGAAACUCAGGUGUCACAGCUUGGCUCAGCUUGGAAUGCACUCCCUCCACCUCCACCCAGAGCUCCCCACAACUGACCCUGCCUUCUCCUGCAAGCUCCAUUUCAUCAAGGGAAAGGAUCCUUAUUGCCUCACCAUUUCCCACGUGAAGUCUGUAUUGACAUUCUCACAGACCUGGGAUAUUGUGUCUGCAGCACAUACUCCAAUUAUUUUCAUGUUAUCUACUGACAGGUCUAUUUGUCUCCCUGUUACACUGUGAGCUCCGUGAGGGCAGAAACAAUGUUAGUAUUUUCACUGCUGUGUCCCCAGUGCCUGGUCCGGGGCCCGGCACACAGCAGGCAUAUAAUAAGCAUGUGUUGAAUCAAUAAAGGCAUCAAAGAAUAAA